CCUACGGGAGGCAGCAGUGGGGAAUAUUGCACAAUGGGGGAAACCCUGAUGCAGCGACGCCGCGUGAGUGAAGAAGGAUCUCGGUAUUUAAAGCUCCAUUAGCAGGGAAGAAGAAAGACGGUACCUGACUAAGAAGCCCCGGCUAACUACGUGCCAGCAGCCGCGGUCAUACGUAGGGGGCAAGCGUUUACCGGAUUUACUGGGUGUAACGGGAGCGUAGACGGUUGUGCAAGUCUGAAGUGAAAGCCCAGGGCUCAACCCUGGGACUGCUUUGGAACCUGUGGAGCUAGAGUGCUGGAGAGGUAAGUGGAAUUCCUGGUGUAGCGGUGAAAUGCUUAGAUAUUAGGAAGAACACCAGUGGCGAAGGCAGCUUACUGAACAGUAACUGACGUUGAGGCUCGAAAGCGUGGGGAGCAAACAGGAUUAGAUACCCUUGUAGUC
RNAcentral lists this ribosomal RNA (441 nucleotides) under uncultured bacterium. RNAcentral's name for it is "partial 16S ribosomal RNA". It matches the Rfam family "Bacterial small subunit ribosomal RNA", at positions 338 to 795 of the family's 1533-position model. The record is from RNAcentral.